AGCCGUGUGAUGAGAACAGAGCGAACUAUUCUUUCGCCUUUUACUAAAGAAUACCGUGUGCUCGUCACUAUAAGCGGCAUACGCCAAUUUUUGGAGGGGUAUUACUUGUUGGAUGCC
This is a non-coding RNA of Gossypium raimondii (Peruvian cotton), 117 nucleotides long. Lineage: Eukaryota; Viridiplantae; Streptophyta; Magnoliopsida; Malvales; Malvaceae. The record is from Rfam.